This 2923-nucleotide ribosomal RNA is filed under the name Klebsiella pneumoniae subsp. pneumoniae. RNAcentral describes it as "bacterial LSU rRNA". It matches the Rfam family "Bacterial large subunit ribosomal RNA". Lineage: Bacteria; Pseudomonadati; Pseudomonadota; Gammaproteobacteria; Enterobacterales; Enterobacteriaceae. The record is from RNAcentral.
GGGUUGUGAGGUUAAGCGACUAAGCGUACACGGUGGAUGCCCUGGCAGUCAGAGGCGAUGAAGGACGUGCUAAUCUGCGAAAAGCGUCGGUAAGGUGAUAUGAACCGUUAUAACCGGCGAUGUCCGAAUGGGGAAACCCAGUGCAAUUCGUUGCACUAUCGUUAACUGAAUACAUAGGUUAACGAGGCGAACCGGGGGAACUGAAACAUCUAAGUACCCCGAGGAAAAGAAAUCAACCGAGAUUCCCCCAGUAGCGGCGAGCGAACGGGGAGCAGCCCAGAGUCUGAAUCAGCUUGUGUGUUAGUGGAACGGUCUGGAAAGUCCGACGGUACAGGGUGAUAGUCCCGUACACCAAAAUGCACAGGCUGUGAACUCGAAGAGUAGGGCGGGACACGUGGUAUCCUGUCUGAAUAUGGGGGGACCAUCCUCCAAGGCUAAAUACUCCUGACUGACCGAUAGUGAACCAGUACCGUGAGGGAAAGGCGAAAAGAACCCCGGCGAGGGGAGUGAAAAAGAACCUGAAACCGUGUACGUACAAGCAGUGGGAGCACCUUCGGGUGUGACUGCGUACCUUUUGUAUAAUGGGUCAGCGACUUAUAUUCUGUAGCAAGGUUAACCGUAUAGGGGAGCCGCAGGGAAACCGAGUCUUAACUGGGCGUUAAGUUGCAGGGUAUAGACCCGAAACCCGGUGAUCUAGCCAUGGGCAGGUUGAAGGUUGGGUAACACUAACUGGAGGACCGAACCGACUAAUGUUGAAAAAUUAGCGGAUGACUUGUGGCUGGGGGUGAAAGGCCAAUCAAACCGGGAGAUAGCUGGUUCUCCCCGAAAGCUAUUUAGGUAGCGCCUCGUGAACUCAUCUUCGGGGGUAGAGCACUGUUUCGGCUAGGGGGUCAUCCCGACUUACCAACCCGAUGCAAACUACGAAUACCGAAGAAUGUUAUCACGGGAGACACACGGCGGGUGCUAACGUCCGUCGUGAAGAGGGAAACAACCCAGACCGCCAGCUAAGGUCCCAAAGUCAUGGUUAAGUGGGAAACGAUGUGGGAAGGCACAGACAGCCAGGAUGUUGGCUUAGAAGCAGCCAUCAUUUAAAGAAAGCGUAAUAGCUCACUGGUCGAGUCGGCCUGCGCGGAAGAUGUAACGGGGCUAAACCAUGCACCGAAGCUGCGGCAGCGACACUAUGUGUUGUUGGGUAGGGGAGCGUUCUGUAAGCCUGCGAAGGUGACCUGUGAGGGUUGCUGGAGGUAUCAGAAGUGCGAAUGCUGACAUAAGUAACGAUAAAGCGGGUGAAAAGCCCGCUCGCCGGAAGACCAAGGGUUCCUGUCCAACGUUAAUCGGGGCAGGGUGAGUCGACCCCUAAGGCGAGGCCGAAAGGCGUAGUCGAUGGGAAACAGGUUAAUAUUCCUGUACUUGGUGUUACUGCGAAGGGGGGACGGAGAAGGCUAUGUUAGCCGGGCGACGGUUGUCCCGGUUUAAGCAUGUAGGCUGGUUGUCCAGGCAAAUCCGGAUAAUCAAGGCUGAGGUGUGAUGACGAGGCACUACGGUGCUGAAGUAACAAAUGCCCUGCUUCCAGGAAAAGCCUCUAAGCAUCAGGUAACAUUGAAUCGUACCCCAAACCGACACAGGUGGUCAGGUAGAGAAUACCAAGGCGCUUGAGAGAACUCGGGUGAAGGAACUAGGCAAAAUGGUGCCGUAACUUCGGGAGAAGGCACGCUGGUGUGUAGGUGAAGCCCCUGCGGGUGGAGCUGAGACCAGUCGAAGAUACCAGCUGGCUGCAACUGUUUAUUAAAAACACAGCACUGUGCAAACACGAAAGUGGACGUAUACGGUGUGACGCCUGCCCGGUGCCGGAAGGUUAAUUGAUGGGGUUAUCCGUAAGGAGAAGCUCUUGAUCGAAGCCCCGGUAAACGGCGGCCGUAACUAUAACGGUCCUAAGGUAGCGAAAUUCCUUGUCGGGUAAGUUCCGACCUGCACGAAUGGCGUAAUGAUGGCCAGGCUGUCUCCACCCGAGACUCAGUGAAAUUGAACUCGCUGUGAAGAUGCAGUGUACCCGCGGCAAGACGGAAAGACCCCGUGAACCUUUACUAUAGCUUGACACUGAACAUUGAGCCUUGAUGUGUAGGAUAGGUGGGAGGCUUUGAAGCGUGGACGCCAGUCUGCGUGGAGCCAACCUUGAAAUACCACCCUUUAAUGUUUGAUGUUCUAACGUUGGCCCCUGACCGGGGUUGCGGACAGUGUCUGGUGGGUAGUUUGACUGGGGCGGUCUCCUCCCAAAGCGUAACGGAGGAGCACGAAGGUUAGCUAAUCCUGGUCGGACAUCAGGAGGUUAGUGCAAUGGCAUAAGCUAGCUUGACUGCGAGCGUGACGGCGCGAGCAGGUGCGAAAGCAGGUCAUAGUGAUCCGGUGGUUCUGAAUGGAAGGGCCAUCGCUCAACGGAUAAAAGGUACUCCGGGGAUAACAGGCUGAUACCGCCCAAGAGUUCAUAUCGACGGCGGUGUUUGGCACCUCGAUGUCGGCUCAUCACAUCCUGGGGCUGAAGUAGGUCCCAAGGGUAUGGCUGUUCGCCAUUUAAAGUGGUACGCGAGCUGGGUUUAGAACGUCGUGAGACAGUUCGGUCCCUAUCUGCCGUGGGCGCUGGAGAAUUGAGGGGGGCUGCUCCUAGUACGAGAGGACCGGAGUGGACGCAUCACUGGUGUUCGGGUUGUCAUGCCAAUGGCACUGCCCGGUAGCUAAAUGCGGAAGAGAUAAGUGCUGAAAGCAUCUAAGCACGAAACUUGCCCCGAGAUGAGUUCUCCCUGAGACUUUAAGUCUCCUGAAGGAACGUUAAAGACGAUGACGUUGAUAGGCCGGGUGUGUAAGCGCAGCGAUGCGUUGAGCUAACCGGUACUAAUGAACCGUGAGGCUUAACCUUACAACGCCGAAG